RNAcentral lists this ribosomal RNA (588 nucleotides) under Vibrio sp. 7JANF1-E-3. RNAcentral's name for it is "bacterial SSU rRNA". It matches the Rfam family "Bacterial small subunit ribosomal RNA", at positions 337 to 917 of the family's 1533-position model. The record is from RNAcentral. Lineage: Bacteria; Pseudomonadati; Pseudomonadota; Gammaproteobacteria; Vibrionales; Vibrionaceae.
UCCUACGGGAGGCAGCAGUGGGGAAUAUUGCACAAUGGGCGAAAGCCUGAUGCAGCCAUGCCGCGUGUAUGAAGAAGGCCUUCGGGUUGUAAAGUACUUUCAGUAGGGAGGAAGGUUCAUACGUUAAUAGCGUAUGGAUUUGACGUUACCUACAGAAGAAGCACCGGCUAACUCCGUGCCAGCAGCCGCGGUAAUACGGAGGGUGCGAGCGUUAAUCGGAAUUACUGGGCGUAAAGCGCAUGCAGGUGGUUCAUUAAGUCAGAUGUGAAAGCCCGGGGCUCAACCUCGGAACCGCAUUUGAAACUGGUGAACUAGAGUGCUGUAGAGGGGGGUAGAAUUUCAGGUGUAGCGGUGAAAUGCGUAGAGAUCUGAAGGAAUACCAGUGGCGAAGGCGGCCCCCUGGACAGACACUGACACUCAGAUGCGAAAGCGUGGGGAGCAAACAGGAUUAGAUACCCUGGUAGUCCACGCCGUAAACGAUGUCUACUUGGAGGUUGUUCCCUUGAGGAGUGGCUUUCGGAGCUAACGCGUUAAGUAGACCGCCUGGGGAGUACGGUCGCAAGAUUAAAACUCAAAUGAAUUGACGGA